AAAGCAGGUUCGCGUAUUCUGCAGUUGCCUCUAAAAGUGCUCCAACUUGGCGGCGUUUUUUAUUCACUCAUUUUAAGAAAUUGAAGCCAGAUUGGAAAAGGUGUGUGAGACUCCCUUAGGAGCUAUGGCUUUAUUUAUUUUUUUUAUUUUUAUUUUUUAUUUUUUACAAAAUCUCUGAUUUCAGUUAGGCUUGUGAUUCCUUAACUGAAGAAGAAUUGUGGGUUUGAAAUAACUCUUGCAGUUUUCUUCUGAAAAGUGAAGCAUCUGUUUUCAUCACAGCGUUCCCACAAAAUUGUCUGCAGGUCACUCCCAAAUGGUUAAUAUUUCAUAUACUAAAACGUACUGUGAUCUGUUCGAAACCACAUAUAACCAGGAACACUUAUGGUACAUGUAAUAGGACAGGCACUCUGUUAGGGCAGUUGCAGCGAGAGCAAGGCAGUCAGUGCCGCUGGUGGCUCCAGGCACAGGGGCUCGCCAGCAGCUGUGGAGCCUGCGAGCUCCACUCUGUUGUUUGACACCGGUGUCCGCAGGGGCCCAGCUUUCCUGUGUGCCUGGGACAUGCUGUAUGGCUGGCUGUGUAACUUCUGCAUCUUGUCCUCCGGCCUCUCUCACGAUUAUGGCCAUAACUGACGUGCAGGGAUAUAACAAGGAUUGCCAUAUGGCUUGAGGAUUAAGAAAACUAUUGGAAAGACAAUACUGCCUCCUUUGGGAAGAUUUUCCAAAAGAUAAGCUCCAUGAAGGUAGAAGAAUGGACCAGCUUUCUGAAUAGAGUUACAGCAAGGAGAGGCCUCUUCUGCAAUCCCAAGUCAAUUUAUCAGGCCACCAGGAAAGUCAGUCUUUUCCAAAUCCACCACUACUUCUAGGAGCAGUGCCCCUGGGUAGAACAGGAGUCUAGGUUUUAUCAUGUGAUUUGAUUUGUGGAGACCCAGAUUCAUGAUUUAUUAGGUCAUCAGGAAAAGCAAUAGACCUGUGAUGCUGAUGAUGUUGUCAAGAAUGUAGGCUUGGAUGUACAUUUGUACGAAGCAAGUUCCCUUCCUGUCUUUCCCUGUUUCUGCUCUAUCCAGAUUCCCAUCCAGUUCAUUCCUAUGGCAGUUGUACUGUGAAGCCGAUUCUGGAACCUUACCACACACCUCUGGUUCCUUUGGUUACAAUGUCAUUUUAAUACAAAUUGCUAAAACAACAUUAGUUCUUAAGAAAACAUUUUAAUUGUUUUUAUAGCUAUAAUUUUAUUUAAUCUUUACACGUUAUUUAAAGCAGGACUAGGGACCAACAGUGCCAUUUUACAAGGGUACCAGUGACACUGAAAAGUUAAGAAAUUUGAUCAUAGUAAGUACUUGGUAAAGUUGGAUAAACCCCCACUAUCCUGACUCACAGCCCAGCAUUUUUUCCAUUAUGCUAACCCUUAUUAUUAUUAGUGGUUUUUUUUUAAAUUGAUGUAUAAUUGACAUAUAACAUUAUGUUAGUUUCAGCUGUACAAUAUGAUCCAAUAUUUGUGCAUAUUACAAAAUGAUCAACACAAUGAGUCUAGUUAACAUCCAUCACCAUACAUAGUCACAAAAUUUUGUUUUUCUUGUGAAGAGGACUUUUUAAGAUCUAGAAAAAUUAUUAAUUAUUAAGAUUAGGUUUGGUUGCAAUUGAUGGGAAAACAAAACAAUCGUGGUUUAAACAAGAUAGAAUUUUAUUUAUCUUGCAAUUUGUCCAAAACUAGUAUGAUGCCUCCAUGGUCAUCAGAGAGCCAAGAUCCUGGGUAAUUGCUUUGACAUUCCCAAUAUCUGGCUUCUUCAUCUUUUCAAGAUUGUUGCUCAAGUUUCAGCCAUGAGGUCCACAGUCUAUCCAUCUAAAUAAGGAUAGGGACAAAACAUGUUUCUCUUCGAAGACAUUUUCUAGAAGACAUAAGGACACUUUUGCUAAACCCCAUUGGCCAGAAUUGAAUCACAUGACCUCAGUAAGCUGCAAGGGAGGCUGGGAAGAAUAACUUUAUGCUGGGUGGCCUUAAUAAACUUAUGAGUUCUAUUAUUAAGGAAGAAAGAGACAAGGGAGAUUGAGGUGACAGCUAGCAGUUCCUACCACAACUUUGCAUUUUACAUUUUGCCAGAUGUAUGUUUUCCUUAGAUUACUUUUUUAUUUAUAUCUGCUUGUUUAUGAAAUACUAUUAGGAUUUUAAGUCUCUUCUUAAAUCUACGAAUGUCAUAAAUGUCAAUAAUAAAAAAUUAUUUAAAAAUUUUAU
Myotis lucifugus (little brown bat) is the source of this 2227-nucleotide long non-coding RNA. RefSeq lists it as uncharacterized. The transcript is spliced from 5 exons. The record is from RefSeq and is a predicted model, not a curated record. NCBI's taxonomy places the organism in Eukaryota, Metazoa, Chordata, Mammalia, Chiroptera, Vespertilionidae.